AAAGAUUCAUCGCUGAUAGAUAGGCAUGCGUUCCAUUAGGCAGUUGGCGGGGUAACGGCCCACCAAACCGACGAUGGAUAGGGGUUCUGAGAGGAAGGUCCCCCACAUUGGUACUGAGACACGGACCAAACUCCUACGGGAGGCAGCAGUGAGGAAUAUUGGUCAAUGGCCGAGAGGCUGAACCAGCCAAGUCGCGUGAAGGAUGAAGGAUCUAUGGUUUGUAAACUUCUUUUAUAGGGGAAUAAAGUGUGGGACGUGUUCCAUUUUGUAUGUACCCUAUGAAUAAGCAUCGGCUAACUCCGUGCCAGCAGCCGCGGUAAUACGGAGGAUGCGAGCGUUAUCCGGAUUUAUUGGGUUUAAAGGGUGCGUAGGUGGUAAUUUAAGUCAGCGGUGAAAGUUUGUGGCUCAACGAUAAAAUUGCCGUUGAAACUGGGUUACUUGAGUGUGUUUGAGGUAGGCGG
This 461-nucleotide ribosomal RNA is filed under the name uncultured Bacteroidales bacterium. RNAcentral's name for it is "bacterial SSU rRNA". It matches the Rfam family "Bacterial small subunit ribosomal RNA", at positions 202 to 664 of the family's 1533-position model. Lineage: Bacteria; Pseudomonadati; Bacteroidota; Bacteroidia; Bacteroidales. The record is from RNAcentral.